Long non-coding RNA from Plodia interpunctella (Indianmeal moth), 729 nucleotides. RefSeq lists it as uncharacterized. The transcript has 3 exons. NCBI's taxonomy places the organism in Eukaryota, Metazoa, Arthropoda, Insecta, Lepidoptera, Pyralidae. The record is from RefSeq and is a predicted model, not a curated record.
AAUUAAUUAAAUAAAAGUGUUACACGCACCACAAUGCUAUCUAUUUUUGGUCUUAUAUUGGACACUUUUCAAUUCAAUAUCUUACUGCAAUUUCCACAACCAGUAACCUGGUUAUAGAACUGUGUGAGUGUGACUGAACAUGUGUAGGGCCCUUGCAGGUGACGUGCCAUAACUCGAUAUAGCGGCACUUACCAUGCGGGACUCCUGUCGCCACUAUCUCAAGAACCUGAUUACAGUAUUUACGACGGUUCGCUGCGCAGAACCCCCGCCACUCAAGUUAUUGCUGGCGUAGUGUGACUGUUGUGCGGUCCGCGGAACGCCUGGAGGACUUCACACUUCGAGCGCGUCUCUAAUUGUCAACUUGCAGCAUUGACCGUGUAGUUAUUAAAGUUGUGCAAUGCAGCGUUGCACAGCCUCUUGGAGACAUUAUGCCCGUGUCAUCUUCUUAUUGUGACGUCAUGCGACGCCCUCCCCGAGCCACCAACACCACCCGGGCUUUUCAUUGUGCCGUCCCACUUUUUAAUCUGAAGACGUCGUAUAAAGUACAAUACUUCGUAAAUACAGCUGAUAUUUUGUUUCAUUUUUAACGCAAAUACUUUAUAUAUAAGGUAAAUUGAUGUGUAAAUAAAAUUUUUGAAAAAAAUAUCUUUAUUUAUUGUGUAAUCUGUAUAGUUUUUUGUAUUACAAUUAUAAUAAUAUUUGAUUCAUUGUAAAUGUAAUUUACGAUGA